GACGAAGGAUGCAAGCGUUAUCCGGCUUCAUUGGGUUUAAAGGGAGCGUAGGUGGCCUUAUAAGUCAGUGGUGAAAUCUCCUCGCUUAACGAGGAAAUUGCCAUUGAUACUGUAGGGCUUGAGUACAGUUGCUGUGGGCGGAGUAUGACAUGUAGUGGGGAAAUACAUAGAGAUGGCAUAGAACACCGAUUGCGAAGGCAGCUCACAAAGCUGUAACUGACACUGAGGCUCGAAAGUGCGGGGAUCAAACAGG
RNAcentral lists this ribosomal RNA (253 nucleotides) under uncultured bacterium. Its description in RNAcentral is "partial 16S ribosomal RNA". It matches the Rfam family "Bacterial small subunit ribosomal RNA", at positions 524 to 776 of the family's 1533-position model. The record is from RNAcentral.